GCCUGCGCGGUAGUGGGACCCGACCCUGUCUCCAGUGGGCGUCUUGGGCCCCGGCUCUAUUCUGGGCUGCGGGCCUGGGAAGGGCUCGCCGGGUGCCAAAUGAGCUGUCCUAACUCUGCGGGGCUGCAGCUUCCUGCAUGAUGCUGGGGAGCUUGGCGCCUGACCCAGGAUCUAGAAGGCACUCUGGGCAGGCCGCGCUCCGCCCACGAAGGUCUGGCUUACCACACGCUCCUCCCCAUUCCCAGUGAGCCGCUUUUUGCAGCACCAGGCGAACACUUACACCAGUGCUUUGUAAAGGAAUCUUAUUGUCCACCCCGUGUCUUGGCAAAAGAACAGUGAUCACACAGAUUCCUACUUGGGCUCUUUCCUUUAAUCUUCGGAGGCUGAGUUUGCCCAACUCAGGUUUAACCACCAAGGACUCUGAGAGCUGGCAGGUCUGAGUAACCCUGGUAACAAUUCUCUUCACCUUAUCAAAACCUGAGCUAAAACCAAUGCAUCAGCUGAUGAUGACAGCAGAGAGUGGCAGGGCUGAGGACCCAAAGUCAUUUCCCAGGCUGGCGGAGAAUAAACUGCCAGGGAGAAGAAUGAGAAGACAGGAGACAAACUGUUUGGAAAGCUAAAUCUUCCCUCUUAAUGAAUAAAGGUUUUUGCCUUGUCUUAAAGUUUCUGAGUCCUAAUUUUGGCAAAAUAAAUAACUUAUGGUAAUCUGG
RNAcentral lists this long non-coding RNA (710 nucleotides) under Homo sapiens (human). RNAcentral describes it as "non-protein coding TP53TG1:7". Lineage: Eukaryota; Metazoa; Chordata; Mammalia; Primates; Hominidae. The record is from RNAcentral.